This 447-nucleotide ribosomal RNA is filed under the name uncultured bacterium. RNAcentral describes it as "bacterial SSU rRNA". It matches the Rfam family "Bacterial small subunit ribosomal RNA", at positions 329 to 793 of the family's 1533-position model. The record is from RNAcentral.
GCCCAGACUCCUACGGGAGGCAGCAGUGGGGGAUAUUGCACAAUGGGGGAACCCCUGAUGCAGCGACGCCCCGUGAGUGAAGAAGUAUUUCGGUAUGUAAAGCUCUAUCAGCAGGGACGAAAAAGACGGUACCUGAGUAAGAAGCCCCGGCUCACUACGUGCCAGCAGCCGCGGUAAUACGUAGGGGGCAAGCGUUAUCCGGAUUUACUGGGUGUAAAGGGAGCGUAGACGGUUAUGCAAGUCUGGAGUGAAAGGCGGGGGCGUAACCCCCGGACUGCUCUGGAAACUGUAUAACUGGAGUGCAGGAGAGGGAAGUGGAAUUCCGAGUGUAGCGGUGAAAGGCGUAGAUAUGUGUAGGAACACCAGUGUCGAAGGCGGCUGACUGGACUGUAACUGACGUUGAGGCUCGAAAGCGUGGGGAGCAAACAGGAUUAGAUACCCUCGUAA